AUUGAACGCUGGCGGCAUGCCUUACACAUGCAAGUCGAACGGUAACAGGUCUUCGGAUGCUGACGAGUGGCGAACGGGUGAGUAAUACAUCGGAACGUGCCCGAUCGUGGGGGAUAACGGAGCGAAAGCUUUGCUAAUACCGCAUACGAUCUACGGAUGAAAGCAGGGGACCGCAAGGCCUUGCGCGGACGGAGCGGCCGAUGGCAGAUUAGGUAGUUGGUGGGAUAAAAGCUUACCAAGCCGACGAUCUGUAGCUGGUCUGAGAGGACGACCAGCCACACUGGGACUGAGACACGGCCCAGACUCCUACGGGAGGCAGCAGUGGGGAAUUUUGGACAAUGGGCGAAAGCCUGAUCCAGCCAUGCCGCGUGCAGGAUGAAGGCCUUCGGGUUGUAAACUGCUUUUGUACGGAACGAAAAGACUCUUUCUAAUAAAGAGGGUCCAUGACGGUACCGUAAGAAUAAGCACCGGCUAACUACGU
This 481-nucleotide ribosomal RNA is filed under the name uncultured bacterium. RNAcentral describes it as "partial 16S ribosomal RNA". It matches the Rfam family "Bacterial small subunit ribosomal RNA", at positions 30 to 506 of the family's 1533-position model. The record is from RNAcentral.